UGGGGAAUUUUGCACAAUGGGGGAAACCCUGAUGCAGCGACGCCGCGUGAUUUAGAAGGCCUUCGGGUUGUAAAAAUCUUUUCUAUGGGAAGAAAAUGACAGUACCAUAGGAAUAAGGACCGGCUAAUUACGUGCCAGCAGCCGCGGUAAUACGUAAGGUCCGAGCGUUGUCCGGAAUCAUUGGGCGUAAAGGGUACGUAGGCGGGUAAGCAAGUUAGAAGUGAAAUCCUGUAGCUCAACUACAGUAAGCUUUUAAAACUGCUCAUCUUGAGAUAUGGAAGGGAAAGUGGAAUUCCUAGUGUAGCGGUGAAAUGCGAAGAUAUUAGGAGGAAUACCGGUGGCGAAGGCGACUUUCUGGCCAUAAACUGACGCUGAGGUACGAAAGCGUGGGUAGCAAACAGG
Molecule: ribosomal RNA, 402 nt
Filed under: Bacteroidota bacterium
Lineage: Bacteria; Pseudomonadati; Bacteroidota
Description: Bacteroidetes bacterium partial 16S ribosomal RNA
Rfam family: Bacterial small subunit ribosomal RNA
Source: RNAcentral